GGAACCUGUUUUGAAGUUGAUAGUCCACGAUUAAUUAAAUUUAUUUUAGAAGUUUGUAUAUCGUCGUAGUUGAAUAUUUUAAAAGAAUUAAUAUUCAAAAUUUUAAUUUAAAUAAAAAAUCAGAUCAAGAUGCAGCUUAUAAAUAAAAAAAAAUGGGUUACAAUAAAUUUAUUUUUGAAAUAAUAAAUGAAUAUUUAUUAUGAAAUUGGAUUUAAUAGUAAUUUUAAAUAUAUUUUUAAAAUGAUUUAAGCUCUAAAAUAUGUACAUAUUGCCCGUCGCUUUUAUUACAAAAUAAAAUAAGUCGUAACAAAGUAGAUUUACUGGAAAGUGAGUCUGGAAGA
RNAcentral lists this ribosomal RNA (341 nucleotides) under Balanophorus sp. NLG-2013. Its description in RNAcentral is "partial 12S ribosomal RNA". The record is from RNAcentral. Lineage: Eukaryota; Metazoa; Arthropoda; Insecta; Coleoptera; Melyridae.